UUUAAUGAGCACAUUCCACAAGAAAGUAAACGCUUUCGCUGCUAAACAUAAAGCUACAAAUUAUACUAGAUUGUAACAAAACUAAAAACAAAAAUAAAGUGAUACAAUAAACCAGCCCAUUGCAAACCACAGCUGCAAAAGAAAAACAUUUUGCUUCCCUAUUUUAUAACAUUAUGGAUAUUUCAGCACACAACACAUACGUUCUGUGGAAAGAGCGAAAUCCCAGAUGGAAGGCAAGCAAAAAGCAAAGUCGCAGAAUAUUCCUGCAGGAGCGCCCAUCGCACCCAAUUUGGAGAAGCCCAGCUCAGUGAACGGGGCAAUCUUUUAAUUCUGAAGGGCAUUCAUGCGGAAAAAGGGGUGUAAUGUGUCCAGAUGGCCCUGCAGUGCUCUGCCACAUGAACGUCAGCGAGACGGUUCAUCAUGUGGCAUUCUUACUUUAAAAUUUGCUGAGUGCAUCUUGAAGGGAGUGCCAAUCAACAUCCUGACCACAGAGGAGGCUGUGAACCAGAUGAGGUGGGAUGUUGCAAUGAAACUUCUUGAAGAAUCAGACAAUCUCAGCAACCUGUGUCAUUAUUGUGGGUUGGAUGAAAAUGAAGACCCAAAUUGGGUAAU
Molecule: long non-coding RNA, 612 nt
Organism: Brienomyrus brachyistius
Lineage: Eukaryota; Metazoa; Chordata; Actinopteri; Osteoglossiformes; Mormyridae
Exons: 3
Source: RefSeq, a predicted model, not a curated record